CUGGAAAAGAAAAUAUAAAAAUAUAAACUUGUCUUCCAUCUCGUCGCAGGAGAUGAGUCAGCAGAACAGGAAAUUCUCCUUGCACAAGCCCUUCUGAUCCCGUGGGCUGGGUGUGUGCGGUAUCGAGCGAGGGCUGGGAAGGGGAACCGGCUUCUCUACUGCAACCACUUUGAAAGGUGAACAAUGCGAGCUGGCCGGAGUUGGAGUGACAUCCUGGAGGUCACAGAUAUUUCAGAUUUGGCCACAGAGUCAGUUUCUCUGGAAGGACUUGAAGCUUAUCUCCAGGACAUCCAAGAUCUUCCUCCUUUGAGGUCCGAAGCUGUGAAGCACUUCUCCAAGCAUGACCUAGAGGAGGCAACUCCCUUAGGUAACCAGUAGGACCUGUAUUUAGCUUGGUGUCAUUUAUGGAGUGCCAGCCAAUGGGAGUGGCAUAAAAUGGCAUGUUUGUCACGACUGUGCUUUCAGACUUUCUGCAGACGCCAGCCCCAUGGCAAAGAAAAGCGGAGAUGACUCUGUCACAUCAAACCAGAGCUUGUUGUCUUCAAGGUUUGGAGUAAUCCAUCCACCUUUCUUCAAAAAAUGUCUCCCAUGAGCACUUAGGGGGAAGGUCAUGUCCUCAGCAGCAACUGUCGAGUAGACACUCUUGGUCAAUAAUUAGAAAGAAGGGAGUUCGCGUCGUGGCGCAGUGGUUAACGAAUCCGACUAGGAACCAUGAGGUUGUGGGUUCGGUCCCUGCCCUUGCUCGGUGGGUUAACGAUCCUGCGUUGCCGUGAGCUGUGGUGUAGGUUGCAGACGCGGCUCGGAUCCCGCGUUGCUGUGGCUCUGGUGUAUGCCGGAGACUACAGCUCCGAUUAGACCCCUAGCCUGGGAACUUCCAUGUGCCGCGGGAGCGGCUCAAGAAAUAGCAAAAAAAAAGACAAAAAAAAAAAAAGAGAGCACAUUUUAUUGCUUCAUACGGUAUUCCCUCCACUAUGAUAGUGUCAUCCUAGUUUUAUUAUUGUCACCCUAAAUCCCCAGCCCAGAAACAAUAGGGAUGAAGGGCAUUACUUCCUCUGCAGCAGUGAAAGCUUUUCGAAAUAGUUAUUACUAGUUGUCCAAUCAGUCAUCUUCUUUCCGUGACAGUUAAA
This 1127-nucleotide long non-coding RNA is filed under the name Sus scrofa (pig). RNAcentral describes it as "lncRNA (ENSSSCG00065026637.1)". Lineage: Eukaryota; Metazoa; Chordata; Mammalia; Artiodactyla; Suidae. The record is from RNAcentral.